Molecule: ribosomal RNA, 301 nt
Filed under: uncultured bacterium
Lineage: Bacteria
Description: partial 16S ribosomal RNA
Rfam family: Bacterial small subunit ribosomal RNA
Source: RNAcentral
CAGUCGCCGCGGUAAUACGUAGGUGGCAAGCGUUAAUCGGACUUACUGGGCGUAAAGCGUGCGCAGGCGGUUAUAUAAGUCAGAUGUGAAAUCCCCGGGCUCAACCUGGGAACUGCAUUUGAGACUGUAUGGCUAGAGUGUGUCAGAGGGGGGUAGAAUUCCACGUGUAGCAGUGAAAUGCGUAGAUAUGUGGAGGAAUACCGAUGGCGAAAGCAGCCCCCUGGGAUAACACUGACGCUCAUGCACGAAAGCGUGGGGAGCAAACAGGAUUAGAUACCCCCGUAGUCCCUGUCUCUUAUAC